Molecule: ribosomal RNA, 245 nt
Filed under: uncultured bacterium
Lineage: Bacteria
Description: partial 16S ribosomal RNA
Rfam family: Bacterial small subunit ribosomal RNA
Source: RNAcentral
GACAGAGGCGGCAAGCGUUGUUCGGAUUUAUUGGGUGUAAAGGGCAGGUAGGUGGCCUUGCAAGUCCGAUGUGAAAUCCCACGGCUCAACCGUGGAACUGCAUUGGAAACUGCUUGGCUUGAGUAUCGGAGAGGUAAGGGGAAUUCCCGGUGUAAGGGUGAAAUCUGUAGAUAUCGGGAGGAAUACCAGUGGCGAAGGCGCCUUACUGGCCGAUUACUGACACUGAGCUGCGAAAGCUAGGGGAG